Molecule: long non-coding RNA, 726 nt
Filed under: Chrysemys picta bellii (western painted turtle)
Lineage: Eukaryota; Metazoa; Chordata; Testudines; Emydidae
Description: lncRNA (ENSCPBG00000004495.1)
Source: RNAcentral
CCCAAGUCACAGGUGCUCAGCACCGCUCAGUAUUUGGCUGUCUAGUAUUAGCUCUGUUAUUUUUAUUUUACUGUGUUUUGAUUUUAGUUCACAUUUUUUUCCCCAAAUAGGUCAGCAUCAUUGCAAUGAAAAUAUAAUUGCUUGACUCCCCUCUCUUGCUUUAGCACUAGACCACAUUGAUGUAUUCAUCACAUCAUUGUCAGACUUGGUAGAGUAGCCUAUUGACACAUUAGGUGAGUAGGUUGGCUGAGUGCUGAUGCAUGUUGCUUUUUACCCGCCACCAGUAUUUCAGAAAGUGAAGGACACCAUCGAAAGAGUAUGUGAGCCGCUGAUGUCUCUGAGUCAGGAUUUCAGGAUCAAAUUGCUGGGAACCUUUAAGAGCUUUCUGCAGGAUGGUGAUGUUAUAUCAGAUGUUAAAACUGUGCGGGGGGUCAACCUAAGCACUCAAUGCUGGACUCGUUGGAUGAAAUUCUCCGGCCUCAGGCGGAAAAUUUGCUUCAUGAUUUAGGAGUUUUCUGUGAGGAUCAGAGAGAAGAAUCCCCUUCAUUAUUGCAACCGGUACACUUCCUGUGUUCUUCUUUAGAAGAUCUGGACUUUAGAGUGCUGCCCCUGCUUGUGACCUGCAUAGAGAAGAACAUGGUGGCCAAGCAGCUUGCGCUGGUAAGAUCCUCCCACACUCGUAUCUUUGAAUAUUUACUAGUUAACACUGCAAGAAAGCUGAUUGAU